This is a long non-coding RNA of Rhincodon typus (whale shark), 953 nucleotides long. RefSeq lists it as uncharacterized. The record is from RefSeq and is a predicted model, not a curated record. Lineage: Eukaryota; Metazoa; Chordata; Chondrichthyes; Orectolobiformes; Rhincodontidae. The transcript is spliced from 2 exons.
UUCCGUACCGUGUGACUCUCUCUCUCUCUCUCUCCCUCUCCUGCUGUGCAGUGCUAUCUCCGUCGAGCUGUACUACAUCUUCGCCACUGUGUGGGGUCGGGAGCAGUACACACUGUAUGGGAUCCUCUUCAUUGUCUUCGCCAUCCUGCUGAGUGUCAGUGCCUGCAUCUCCAUCGCCCUGACCUACUUCCAGCUGUCGAGUGAGGAUUACCGCUGGUGGUGGCGCUCGGUCUUCAGCACGGGUUCCACCGGCUUCUUCAUGUUCCUCUACUCCGUCUUCUACUACUUCAAGCGCUCAAACAUGUCUGGGACAGUGCAGACACUGGAGUUCUUCGGCUACUCCGUCCUCACCUGCUACGUCUUCUUCCUCAUGCUGGGCUCCGUCUCCUUCUUUGCCUCGCUGCAGUUCAUCCGCUACAUCUAUGUCAACCUCAAAAUGGACUGACCUCAGAGACAGUGAGCGAACCAAGGAGCGUGCCCCACGGGGCUGGCAUCACGCACAUGGCCGAGGGGAGUGCCUUCAGCUGCGGAACAUUCUGGAAUUCCCUGCGCCAGGAUCGCCUCUGAGCUGUUCAGCGUGCGGGACCCCCCCCGCCCUGUGCACGGUGUAAAAUAUGUAACUUUAUAAAUAUUAUACAAUGAGGGUUGUGAAAUUUUAUAUACUGUAAACAGCUUGUAAAUUGGGUUUGCGUUCUUUUGUACAGCAAAGUGCCAUCUCGCUCUCGAGCUUCCUUGUCCCUCUCGUCGCCAAUCAUUUGUUUUCGUCGGCAUCUGGAAUUUAGUUUUAAUUUACACACCACCUAGAUUAUCAUUUCCAACAAGGACCGGUGUUUGCUUCUGGGGAUGGGACACUGCUUUCCCCUAAUCUCUCUCUGCCCUCCCUCCCUCAUAUGUCUGUCUGUUCUUUUGCAGUUGUCUUUUAUUACUAAUAAAAAAAAAAUUAAUUUUCAUUC